GGGAAUGGUCGGGAUAGCUCAGUGGAGAGCAGAGACGAACC
This 41-nucleotide transfer RNA is filed under the name Atraphaxis spinosa. Its description in RNAcentral is "partial tRNA-Phe". The record is from RNAcentral. Lineage: Eukaryota; Viridiplantae; Streptophyta; Magnoliopsida; Caryophyllales; Polygonaceae.